This 85-nucleotide transfer RNA is filed under the name Candidatus Methanoxibalbensis ujae. Its description in RNAcentral is "tRNA-Leu". It matches the Rfam family "tRNA". Rfam says of the family: Transfer RNA (tRNA) molecules are approximately 80 nucleotides in length. Their secondary structure includes four short double-helical elements and three loops (D, anti-codon, and T loops). The record is from RNAcentral. Lineage: Archaea; Methanobacteriati; Methanobacteriota; Methanomicrobia; Candidatus Methanophagales; Candidatus Methanospirareceae.
GCGGGGGUUACCGAGUCAGGUCAAAGGUGGCAGACUCAAGAUCUGCUCCCGAAGGGGUUCGCAGGUUCGAAUCCUGCCCCCCGCA